RNAcentral lists this long non-coding RNA (230 nucleotides) under Lathyrus oleraceus (garden pea). RNAcentral's name for it is "Pisum sativum (pea) long non-coding RNA (PSAT_LNC021333)". The record is from RNAcentral. Lineage: Eukaryota; Viridiplantae; Streptophyta; Magnoliopsida; Fabales; Fabaceae.
AGCUUCAGAGCAGUAACCAUAGGUCUCCAUUUCUUUGGCAGACUUCUGACUAUCUUCUUAACAUGAUCUGCAGUCGUGUAUCCUUUGUCUAGCACUUUAAGACCUGCAAUAAGAGUUUGAAAUCUAGAAAACAUAGCCUCUAUAGCUUCGUCAUCUUCCAUUUUGAAGGCUUCAUAUUUCUGGAUAAGCGCCAGAGCCUUCGUCUCCUUGACUUGGGAGUUUCCUUCAUG